Patagioenas fasciata monilis is the source of this 80-nucleotide non-coding RNA. The record is from Rfam. NCBI's taxonomy places the organism in Eukaryota, Metazoa, Chordata, Aves, Columbiformes, Columbidae.
GCCCCAUGUUUCGUGUUCACCGCGGACCUUGAUUUAACGUCACACAAUUAAGGCACGCGGUGAACGCCAAAGGGGGGCGG